This 254-nucleotide ribosomal RNA is filed under the name uncultured bacterium. RNAcentral describes it as "partial 16S ribosomal RNA". It matches the Rfam family "Bacterial small subunit ribosomal RNA", at positions 524 to 776 of the family's 1533-position model. The record is from RNAcentral.
UACGUAGGGGGCGAGCGUUGUCCGGAUUUAUUGGGCGUAAGGAGCUCGUAGGCGGUUUGGCAAGUCGGGUGUGAAAACUCCGGGCUCAACUCGGAGACGCCACUCGAUACUGCCAUGACUCGAGUCCGGUAGGGGAGUGCGGAAUUCCUGGUGUAGCGGUGAAAUGCGCAGAUAUCAGGAGGAACAUCAGUGGCGAAAGCGGCUUCCUGGACCAGCACCGACGUUCAGGCACGAAAGCGUAGGGAGCAAACAGG